UCUCUGCCUUUUUCUGGCCCCUUCCCGUCAUUCUGCUUUGAGUCCUGGCUACCAGGAGGUGAGUGACUUGGCCACACACUGUAGGCACUGUGUACCUCAUCCUGGGCUCAUGGUGGAGGGAGCCAGCCAUGGACCGGUGAGCUAAAGUGACUCUCUCCUGUGAGGUUUUUCAUCAGAUUUCGGUCACAGCAACAAAAAGUCUCAUACAAAAUCUCAAAAUGUGACUUUUAUUGAGUUUUUCAUAAAUAAGCAUUUAUUCCUUGACUGACUGCUCAGACAACACUGGUGCACUGAUGGUCAAACCGUGUUCCUUCUGGACUUAGAGGCUAGUGUUUUUAUUUAACAGAUAUUUACAGACAUUUGUAAAAAGGUAGUUUUCAGGAGCAGACAAUCCCUCUGUCAUACAAUGGAAUUAACCUGUUCUGUGUCACAGGACAGAUCACAGAAUGGUAGCACCUAGCAGCACCCGAGCCACCAAGAGAAACAUUCAGCAAGGCUUCUGACGACAUCCAUUUUCCUUUGGCCUGAAAAAAAAAAAAAGAGCCACAUCUCCCCCAACCCCCAAAAAUCUAAUCACUAAGGCAAACGCUCAAAUAUAUAAUACUUAUCAAGCCUCAUAUCUGUUCCUCAUGGAGGGACUUAGUUCUCUCUUUUGUGGGUGCUUGUGUUUUUCCUAUAAAGAUUAGUAACCAUAUUUGAACCUGUUUAUCCUAACUGUGCCUUCAAUGGUUCAGCACUUGAGGCUGGCGAGAUUUGCUUUAUAAACUGCCCAUCUGCAGGAUGGCUUUACAUACCUAAGCUUACUUCAGUCUAACUGUACAGAGAGCAAGCGCCUCACGAGCCUCGGAUGUAAGUUUACAUACCCUCUUCUCUAGCCUUUCAAAUGGGGCUUGAAGGCACCAAAUCACUGCUGCAAUGAAUGACAAUAAAGCAGAUUUACUACCCACAGGGAAAAUGAAGCUCUCACCGGGAAUCAGGGAGCCGUCACCUUCCAGGUUCCCCUGGAUUGGACCAAUAUAAAAAAUACCCCAAAGACAGGAGGAUUCAAACCGUUACCCUGAAAGAACUAAGUCAGCCCUUUGAACUUAUAAUUUAAGUUUACAAAAUUUUAAUCCCCUCAGAACAAAACAGUCUUCUGGUGACUAUCAAAAGUCCUGGCGGAGUUUAGUGUUUUAACCUCACCCCUGAGCUGCUGCCUACACACGAAGUCUUAGUUCUGUAAGCAGAGCUUUGCACAGCAUCUAAUACAGGAUGCACACGACCCUAGGAGUGCUGCUUUAUAAUUCAUAUUUCAACAGC
RNAcentral lists this long non-coding RNA (1299 nucleotides) under Mus musculus (house mouse). RNAcentral describes it as "long non-coding RNA chr17:6609896-6611195". Lineage: Eukaryota; Metazoa; Chordata; Mammalia; Rodentia; Muridae. The record is from RNAcentral.